GUAAAACCAAGCUACG
RNAcentral lists this transfer RNA (16 nucleotides) under Syntrichia sarconeurum. Its description in RNAcentral is "partial tRNA-Gly". The record is from RNAcentral. Lineage: Eukaryota; Viridiplantae; Streptophyta; Bryopsida; Pottiales; Pottiaceae.